Molecule: transfer RNA, 72 nt
Filed under: Dunaliella salina
Lineage: Eukaryota; Viridiplantae; Chlorophyta; Chlorophyceae; Chlamydomonadales; Dunaliellaceae
Description: tRNA-Ala
Rfam family: tRNA
About the family: Transfer RNA (tRNA) molecules are approximately 80 nucleotides in length.
Source: RNAcentral
GGGGCUGUAGCUCAUCGGCAGAGCGUGACAUUUGCAUUGUCGAGGUAGGGGGUUCGACACCCUCCAGCUCCA